UAAGGAAUAUUGGACAAUGGAGGCAACUCUGAUCCAGCCAUGCCGCGUGAAGGAAUAAGGCCCUAUGGGUUGUAAACUUCUUUUAGACGGGACAAAACCCCUUUACGUGUAAAGGGUUGAUGGUACUGUCAGAAUAAGCAUCGGCUAACUUCGUGCCAGCAGCCGCGGUAAUACGAAGGAUGCAAGCGUUAUCCGGAAUUAUUGGGUUUAAAGGGUGCGUAGGCGGACUAAUAAGUCAGUGGUGAAAGCCUGCAGCUUAACUGCAGAAUUGCCAUUGAUACUGUUAGUCUUGAGUACAGUUGAGGUAGGCGGAAUGUGUCAUGUAGCGGUGAAAUGCUUAGAUAUGACACAGAACACCGAUUACGAAGGCAGCUUGCUAAGCUGUAACUGACGCUGAGGCACGAAAGCGUGGGGAGCAAACA
RNAcentral lists this ribosomal RNA (422 nucleotides) under uncultured bacterium. Its description in RNAcentral is "bacterial SSU rRNA". It matches the Rfam family "Bacterial small subunit ribosomal RNA", at positions 355 to 774 of the family's 1533-position model. The record is from RNAcentral.